Daktulosphaira vitifoliae (grape phylloxera) is the source of this 3363-nucleotide RNA transcript. It is a transcript of the gene named glycoprotein 3-alpha-L-fucosyltransferase A-like, with no coding region annotated. Lineage: Eukaryota; Metazoa; Arthropoda; Insecta; Hemiptera; Phylloxeridae. The record is from RefSeq and is a predicted model, not a curated record. The transcript is spliced from 6 exons.
UCGAGUGCGGCCAUUCACUUCAGGUAGAUGUAAAAAUGAUGGACCGUUCCAAUGAACAUUACACUGUACCAUUGCAUUAGGCAGUAGACCACGAGACGAAGGAUCAGCUGGAUUCUCGGCUGUACUAAUAUGCGACCAACUGCAACCUGGUAUUAAUUGAUGAAUUUUCGCUAAUCUAUUAGUCACAAACAUUUUAAAGUAUUUUGCAUCAGUGGUGAUCCAUGAUAAAACUAUCGAUGAGACCGUUAUGCGCGAAUCUGUGAUAUGGUAACGUUUGGUGAUAAAACGGGCUGAACUCUAGUUGAGCCAGUAAAAGAGCGGCACACUAUUCGAGUCUCGGUAUUGUUAAUGACAUGUCUUGUUUACUAGACUUCAAUGGCGCUACUUUGGUUUUACACGUAAUAAAAUAAUUUCUUAUUUGUCCCGAACGAUAGGUGACGCGUAAAUAAACUGUGUCCGCAUAACCAAUCAGUGAAGCGUUCCAAAAACCUACCAGCUGUAUAUUAUUAUAAUUAAUAAUAUCAAUAUGUCGAUUUAACAUAUUACAUUACAAAGUGACGGCAAUUCAGCGGCGAAUUGUGUACCACUGCGUACGUAAAUGAGGAAACAAUGGCGCAUCCCAAUCAAAUUGGUCUUGCCAUAGACUUGAAUAAAACCUUUGUCCCAUAAAAUAAUAGGACCCAAAUCACCAAUAGCAUCAAACAAUUUGGCAAUAGUAGACAAAACACCGCGUUUCGAUAAUGGCGUUUCUUUAAUAUUUGUAUGGUAGCCAAAAAUGUCACUUUGAGUGUUCCAGUGUAAACCUAGAACUUUGACAGUUGACUCAUCUUUUGGGUGAGUCAAUACCCGACAACCAUCGAUUUAUUAUGUAAAAUUGUGAAAUAAAAUGAAUAGUGUUUAACAUAUUUUUACUUGUUAAACGAUAGAAUGGUAAUUGACUGUGAAAAUUGACGUGAGUGUAUGAUUUUUGUUUUAGUGUAAAACAAAAAUAAUAUAUUAUGCUCAAGUAUAGUUUGUAGCUGAAACAAGUAUUUAAUAGCAUUAUUUGUAUGUUUCACGUACUCAAUUGUAUCAUAGCGAACGUGAACAAGUUUUUAAUAAGUGUUCAAAUAAUGUUUUGUUAUACUGAAUAAUUUUUUUUUCGUCAGUUCCUUUUGUAAAAUUUAGUGAAUACAAUAUACUUUUACUUUAUUUUUAUUCUAUUAAAUAACAUAUUCUAAAGUUUUAAUCAAUUAAGAUAUAUGAUUAAUAUAAUUAAUAUAACAUUUAGGAUAAUAUACGGUUACUUUUACAAAUUUAAUUAAUAGCAUAAAUUGUUAAAAGCCUAUAUUAUUAUGCCUGCCUGCAAAUGCUAUGAUAGGCCUCGAACCACCCAGCGAAAUUUUUGGUUUGUUAUGCUGAUUUUGUCACUAUUAUUCAUUAUUAUAUAUUUUGGUUUGAGAUCUUUAUUUAUAAAUCAUCAAGAAAAAGUUACAAAUGUUUCUGAAACUACUAAUAAUAUCAAUCAUUAUGAAGUCAGUAACAAACAUCCCUGGAGACUUAACAAAACUAUAAUGGAAGGACGUAAAACGUUAAAUAAUUAUAGCAGACGACUGGUUUGGCCAGAAGAAUUAUCCAAUGGUGACAGAAUAAUGGAACAAAUAUUAUUUGUUCCUUCUAAUUAUAACCGCGAAACGGCUCCAAUUAAGAAAAUUCUACUUUAUAAUGGAAUAGGGUACUCAUGGGAAAUACCUAGACUUGGACAAGAAGAGUUCAUAGAUUGUCCUGUGAGCAGUUGUUCAAUGACUACAGAUAAAUCUUUAGCUCCUUUAGUCGAGGCCAUACUUUUCAAGCAUAAGUAUAAUGGAAGUGAGCAUAUAAGGCCUCCUAAUCAGAUUUGGAUAAUUUACUUUACUGAAGGACCAUACAUUUCGCCUAUAUUCCAAGACAACAAUGUUUUCAACUGGACUGCUACUUAUCGAAUGGAUAGUGAUAUACCAAAUCCUUAUUCUUAUUGGUAUCAAUACAAUGAACAAGAAAUUAAAAUUCGACCAAAAGUGCCAAAAAAAAAUUAUGCAUCGGGAAAAAUUAAACAAGUAGCAUGGUUUGUUUCAGACUGUAAGCCAUUUAAUAAUCGUUCAGGAUAUGCACACGAACUUUCUAAGCAUAUAUCAGUAGACAUUUAUGGCAAAUGUGGUCCGUUGAAGUGUCCUAAAUCAAACAAAUGUUUUUUGAUGCUUAAAAAUACCUAUAAAUUUUACUUGGCUUUUGAAAACGCUCAUUGUAUGCAUUACAUCACCGAAAAACUGUAUACAAAUGCAUACAAUUGUACGUUCAGUAAGUAAGGAAACAGGUAUAUUGUUAUAAACAAUGAGAACAAUAGAAACCAAUUUAUUUUAUAAAUAAAUGACUUUUAAUUUUUAACAUAACUUUAUUCGUUUAUUGGUUUUAGCUUCGAUGCGAAGCUGAGAAGGUAUUGGUUUUACUAAGAUGUGUUUUUUUUUUUUUUGUGUCUGUUACCACUUUUUCUCAGCUCUCACCGAACCGAUUUCUUUCAAUGAUACGUCAAAAAAUCACAAAUCGUAUCAAGUCAAAGACAUUACCCUUAAAAAUUGAAAAAAAUUCCCUCGUUCCCCGUAAAAGGGGGAAACCUCCAAAAAAAUUACAAAUUUAAAAAUCGCUAAUUUUCGAAAUUUUUUCAAUUUUUUUUACUUAAAAGUGCCAUAACUUUUUCAAAAAUAAACAUAUCAAUAUAAUUCUUUUUUAUAUAGAUGCAUAAUAUCAUUACCUUUCAUUUGGUAUAUUUUUUUCAUAAAUUUAACCCUUAACCUGCCCACAAGGGGGGAUUUAAAAUGACAACUUUUUCACAAAAAAUUAAUUUUUUUAACUUAAAUUUUGAAAAUGUUCCGGAAGGUCUGACACUUUUAUAUAUAUCUUAAAUUAAAGCUAAUGUAAUAUACUUUAUAAUGGUAAAAAAAAAUUUCGGACUUUAUUUUAUCUUCAUGGUGAAAACAGACAUUAAACUUAAUAAAAAAAAUACGAUUUUUGUAAAAAAAUUCUUUUUUAUAUUUUUAACUUUAUAAUGCUAUAACUUCUCGAAAGAUGUAUGGAUCAAUAUAAUUCUUUUUUUUGUAGAUGCAUGAUGUCUUUACCUAUCAUUUGGUAUAUUUUUUUUAUAAAUCUGACUUUUUACCUGCCUACAGGGGGGGAUUCAAAAUGACAACUUUUUCACAAAAAAUUGACUUUUUCAACUUAAAUUUUGAAAGUGUUCCGGAAAGUCUGACACUUUUAUAUAUAUCUUAAAUUAAAGCUAAUGUAAUAUACUUUAUCAUGGAAAAAAAAAAUUUCGGACUUUAUUUUAUCUUCAAGGUGAAAAUGGCUACC